AGAACGAACGCUGGCGGCAUGCCUAAUACAUGCAAGUCGAACGAAGGCUUCGGCCUUAGUGGCGCACGGGUGCGUAACGCGUGGGAAUCUGCCCCUUGGUUCGGAAUAACAGUUGGAAACGACUGCUAAUACCGGAUGAUGACGAAAGUCCAAAGAUUUAUCGACCAAGGGAUGAGCCCGCGUAGGAUUAGCUAGUUGGUGAGGUAAAGGCUCACCAAGG
RNAcentral lists this ribosomal RNA (220 nucleotides) under uncultured soil bacterium. RNAcentral describes it as "partial 16S ribosomal RNA". It matches the Rfam family "Bacterial small subunit ribosomal RNA", at positions 26 to 273 of the family's 1533-position model. The record is from RNAcentral.